This 705-nucleotide long non-coding RNA is filed under the name Rhopalosiphum maidis (corn leaf aphid). RNAcentral's name for it is "uncharacterized LOC113559895, transcript variant X2". The record is from RNAcentral. Lineage: Eukaryota; Metazoa; Arthropoda; Insecta; Hemiptera; Aphididae.
GGUUUGCCUUACGUUAAAUACUAAGGAUGGAAUUCAUAAGUAAAUUAAUUUUAAAUCACUGUUAGCCAGUGUUAUAUGAUAUUUUGAUUAAAUAUACAAAACUCUGAUUCCAUUAAAAUAAUAAAACGUCUAAAGCAUGCUUAUUACAUUAAGUAGUUUUUAUACUUUUUACAUUUAACCAACCAAUAAAAUAUAAAUGAUACCAAUACCGCGGAUUGUCAAUGUAAGCUGAGAAUGGAUCUUGCAUUUGUAAUACCAGUGAAACUACUAAUAUUCUAUCUACGUUGAAGAUGAACGAUAACAAUUACAUAAACAUCAAUGAUUUAUUGCAAUUUCUAUUGUAAAGAUUAUUGAUUAUACCAGUACCGCGGAUUGUCAAUGUAAGCUGGGCAUGGAUCUUGCAUUUGUAAUACCUGUGAAACUACUAAUAUUCUAUCUACGUUGAAGAUGAACGAUAACAAUUACAUAAACAUCAAUGAUUUAUUGCAAUUUCUUUUGUACAGAUUAUUGAUUAUACCAGUACCGCGGAUUGUCAAUGUAAGCUGGGCAUGGAUCUUGCAUUUGUAAUACCUGUGAAACUAUUAAUAUUCUAUCUACAUUGAAGAUGAACGAUAACAAUUACAUAAACAUCAAUGAUUUAUUGCAAUUUCUUUUGUAAAGAUUAUUGAUUAUACCAGUACCGCGGAUUGUCAAUGUAAGCUGAGA